Non-coding RNA from Desertifilum sp., 37 nucleotides. NCBI's taxonomy places the organism in Bacteria, Bacillati, Cyanobacteriota, Cyanophyceae, Desertifilales, Desertifilaceae. The record is from Rfam.
AUUGCAAUUACUCCUAAUCCCUAUUAGGGAUUGAAAC